UGGCGUAUAAAAUUAUAAUCCUGGUACUUUUGAUAACUAUUUACACCACUGGGUCGAUGCCACUGCUGGUGGACGUUUCGUCCCCGAGGGUAUCACCAGCCCAGUAGUCAGCACUUCGGUGUUGACAUGAAUAUCAAUUAUAUGGUCAUUUUUAUAAAUUUUUAUAAAUUUUCUGUUUACAAAACUUUUGAAUUUUUCGAAAAACUAAGGAUUUUCUU
This 218-nucleotide long non-coding RNA is filed under the name Mytilus galloprovincialis (Mediterranean mussel). Lineage: Eukaryota; Metazoa; Mollusca; Bivalvia; Mytilida; Mytilidae. The record is from RNAcentral.